GAAAGGCGAGAAGGAAGGGGAAGGGCAGAAGGCAGGGAAUCAUCGAAUCUUUGAACGCACAUUGCGCCCGCCAGUAUUCUGGCGGGCAUGCCUGUUCGAGCGUCAUUUCAACCAUCAAGCCCCCGGCUUGUGUUGGGGACCUGCGGCUGCCCGCAGGCCCUGAAAAACAGUGGCGGGCUCGCUGUCACACCGAGCGUAGUAGCAUACAUUCUCGCUCAGGGCGUGCUGCGGGUUCCGGCCGUUAAACGACCUUCAUAACCCAAGGUUGACCUCGGAUCAGGUAGGAAGACCCGCUGAACUUAAGC
RNAcentral lists this unclassified non-coding RNA (305 nucleotides) under plant metagenome. RNAcentral's name for it is "partial contains 5.8S ribosomal RNA, internal transcribed spacer 2, and large subunit ribosomal RNA". The stretch from base 1 to 105 matches the Rfam family "5.8S ribosomal RNA", at positions 50 to 154 of the family's 154-position model. The record is from RNAcentral.